GCUAUUUCUGGGCUUUUUUGGGAUCUUCCAGGACCUUCUCUGCACCUUUCUGCACCUUCUGGAACCUUCUCUGGACCUUCCGGGACCUUCCCGAAUUUUCUGGGAUUUUUUGGGAUUUUUUUCCCGGAAUUUUGGGGCUUUUUAUGUACCUUCCAGGACCUGUCUCUGCUAUUUCUGGGCUUUUUUGGGACCUUCCAGGACCUUCUCUGCACCUUCUGGAACCUUCCAGGGCC
This 233-nucleotide long non-coding RNA is filed under the name Zonotrichia albicollis (white-throated sparrow). RNAcentral describes it as "lncRNA (ENSZALG00000005389.1)". Lineage: Eukaryota; Metazoa; Chordata; Aves; Passeriformes; Passerellidae. The record is from RNAcentral.